This 492-nucleotide long non-coding RNA is filed under the name Fukomys damarensis (Damara mole-rat). RNAcentral's name for it is "lncRNA (ENSFDAG00000031648.1)". Lineage: Eukaryota; Metazoa; Chordata; Mammalia; Rodentia; Bathyergidae. The record is from RNAcentral.
GAGCUGUGGUGGUUUGCUGUCGUUUUUGUAGCGGAUGGAAACUGUCUGAAAGCCUUCCUCUGUGUUGUGGAUCUGCAUGACUCACUGAGACGUCUCUGUCAUUUAACGUGCUCCUUUAGAUUUAGAGGACAGCACAUACCUGGCACCAGCUCUUGUCUCCUUUUGAGAAAAAGUUCAGGAUCUGGGAAGAAGUCACGAUUACUGGUCAUCUUCAACCACUGUCCCAAAAGCGCUGUGAACAGCACACGCAUGGUGAGAAGUUGGCCAGGGCAGCACAAGCCAGGGGUCCUAGCCAAGAGAGGGGACGUUCCGGCCCUGAUCCCAGGAAUGGGGCAGGGAAAGCAUCGGGAAGUGGGGGCACUUCAGAGCCUUGAGCCCUGCUAGACAGCAGGGCCUGCGGACCAGGAAGGGCUUGGACCCAAGAUCACCUCACUGGUGACAGAAGACGCAGCACACCGUAUGGGCACAUUCCACCCUCGGAUUUGUUUUAGG